CCGCCGACGACCGGCGCACGGGUGCGCAACGCGUAUACAAUCUACCUUAUGCUGAGGGAUAGCCCAGAGAAAUUUGGAUUAAGACCUCAUGGUAUCGAGAGACGGCAUCGUUUUUUGAUUAAAGGUUACGGCAUAAGAUGAGUAUGCGUCCCAUUAGCUAGUUGGUGUGGUAACGGCACACCAAGGCUACGAUGGGUAGGGGUCCUGAGAGGGAGAUCCCCCACACUGGUACUGAGACACGGACCAGACUCCUACGGGAGGCAGCAGUGAGGAAUAUUGGACAAUGGACGCAAGUCUGAUCCAGCCAUGCCGCGUGCAGGAAGACGGUCCUAUGGAUUGUAAACUGCUUUUAUACGGGAAGAAUAAGGACUACGUGUAGUCCGGUGACGGUACCGUAAGAAUAAGGAUCGGCUAACUCCGUGCCAGCAGCCGCGGUAAUACGGAGGAUCCAAGCGUUAUCCGGAAUCAUUGGGUUUAAAGGGUCCGUAGGCGGACUAUUAAGUCAGGGGUGAAAGUCUGCAGCUCAACUGUAGAAUUGCCUUUGAUACUGGUAGUCUUGAGUUAUGGUGAAGUGGCUAGAAUAUGUAGUGUAGCGGUGA
This 599-nucleotide ribosomal RNA is filed under the name Sediminicola arcticus. RNAcentral's name for it is "bacterial SSU rRNA". It matches the Rfam family "Bacterial small subunit ribosomal RNA", at positions 85 to 684 of the family's 1533-position model. Lineage: Bacteria; Pseudomonadati; Bacteroidota; Flavobacteriia; Flavobacteriales; Flavobacteriaceae. The record is from RNAcentral.